UGGGGAAUAUUGCACAAUGGAGGGAACUCUGAUGCAGCAACGCCGCGUGCGGGAUGACGGCCUUCGGGUUGUAAACCGCUUUCAGCCAUGACGAAGCUUUUGUGACGGUAGUGGUAGAAGAAGCACCGGCUAACUACGUGCCAGCAGCCGCGGUGAUACGUAGGGUGCGAGCGUUGUCCGGAAUUAUUGGGCGUAAAGAGCUUGUAGGCGGUUUGUCGCGUCGAUAGUGUAAACACGCAGCUUAACUGUGUGCCUGCUGUCGAUACGGGCUGACUAGAGGAGGGUAGGGGAGAAUGGAAUUCCCGGUGGAGCGGUGGAAUGCGCAGAUAUCGGGAGGAACACCAGUGGCGAAGGCGGUUCUCUGGACCUUUCCUAACGCUGAGAAGCGAAAGCGUGGGUAGCAAACAGG
This 409-nucleotide ribosomal RNA is filed under the name Fusobacteriota bacterium. RNAcentral's name for it is "Fusobacteria bacterium partial 16S ribosomal RNA". It matches the Rfam family "Bacterial small subunit ribosomal RNA", at positions 355 to 776 of the family's 1533-position model. Lineage: Bacteria; Fusobacteriati; Fusobacteriota. The record is from RNAcentral.